GGAGGAUGAUCUGUUCCAGGGCCUCAAAGUGGAGUGAUCCCAGUAGAUGACUUUUCAGAAACUCUGAGGUCUACCCUGUUUCAGCAUCGGGGACUACAGGACUUUGAUAUAGGCCUUUUGAAACAGAGGUUCCGGUGGCCCUGACUGGCCUCUACCUUCCAAGUGCUAAGAUUACAGGUAUGUACUACCACAGCUGCUCUUAGCUGUUUGUAGCACAGCUGACUGGGAUCAUUUAUAAAUCUCACCCAU
This 249-nucleotide long non-coding RNA is filed under the name Rattus norvegicus (Norway rat). Its description in RNAcentral is "long non-coding RNA NONRATT031535". The record is from RNAcentral. Lineage: Eukaryota; Metazoa; Chordata; Mammalia; Rodentia; Muridae.